GAGUUUGAUCAUGGCUCAGGACGAACGCUGGCGGCGUGCUUAACACAUGCAAGUCGCACGGGGUAGCAAUACCCAGUGGCGAACGGGUGCGUAACACGUGAGGAACAUACCUUUUGGUGGGGGAUAGCCGGCCCAACGGCCGGGUAAUACCGCGUACGCCCUUCGGGUGGCAUCACCUGAUGGGGAAAGCAGCAAUGCGCUAAUUGAGUGCCUCGCGGCCUAUCAGCUAGUUGGUGAGGUAACGGCUCACCAAGGCGACGACGGGUAGCUGGUCUGAGAGGAUGAUCAGCCACAUUGGGACUGAGACACGGCCCAGACUCCUACGGGAGGCAGCAGUGGGGAAUCUUGCGCAAUGGCCGAAAGGCUGACGCAGCGACGCCGCGUGUGGGAUGACGGCCU
Molecule: ribosomal RNA, 399 nt
Filed under: uncultured Gemmatimonadota bacterium
Lineage: Bacteria; Pseudomonadati; Gemmatimonadota
Description: bacterial SSU rRNA
Rfam family: Bacterial small subunit ribosomal RNA
Source: RNAcentral